AUAUAAUAUAUAAUAUAUCUACUAAUUUACUUACGCUCAAUUCGGUCAUGCGACGAGUGGGUCCUGUGCGACGGGGCACCGUGAACCAUGUCAGGCGGGGAACCGAGCAGCAUUAAGCGGGCCGUCCUGUGCGCCACAGUCCGCCUGCUCGUCGUGUGACCGAGUGGAGCGUAAGUUUUUAUUU
This 184-nucleotide signal recognition particle RNA is filed under the name Clostridia bacterium. RNAcentral describes it as "signal recognition particle sRNA large type". The stretch from base 55 to 153 matches the Rfam family "Bacterial small signal recognition particle RNA". From Rfam's summary of the family: The signal recognition particle (SRP) is a universally conserved ribonucleoprotein involved in the co-translational targeting of proteins to membranes. Archaeal SRP consists of a 7S RNA and homologues of the eukaryotic SRP19 and SRP54 proteins. Lineage: Bacteria; Bacillati; Bacillota; Clostridia. The record is from RNAcentral.